UGGCGGACGGGUGAGUAAUGUCUGGGAAACUGCCUGAUGGAGGGGGAUAACUACUGGAAACGGUAGCUAUACCGCAUAACGUCGCAAGACCAAAGAGGGGGACCUUCGGGCCUCUUGCCAUCGGAUGUGCCCAGAUGGGAUUAGCUAGUAGGCGGGGUAACGGCUCACCUAGGCGACGAUCCCUAGCUGGUCUGAGAGGAUGACCAGCCACACUGGAACUGAGACACGGUCCAG
This 234-nucleotide ribosomal RNA is filed under the name uncultured bacterium. RNAcentral describes it as "partial 16S ribosomal RNA". It matches the Rfam family "Bacterial small subunit ribosomal RNA", at positions 96 to 334 of the family's 1533-position model. The record is from RNAcentral.